UUGACGGGAAAUGUAGUUCUUUUUUUUCGGCCGAGGCUACCGUUGUCGAAGGAAGUUUUGUCCCACACAACUACACUACACAUACCACAGCGCUCCUCACAGGCUCAUAAUGUUACUCACAACAUGGCACCUGCAGGCGGGGGUGUUACGCUGGCGGCUAUGUCGCUGCUGAACUUUUGCGGAGCAAUUUUGUCUAGCGAGUAUUUCUCCACUUUGACCUUGUUUAACAGCGAUCUUCAUAAGCACGGCUGCAGCUCUCAGGCUGAGUGGGAGGAGUAUGCGGCGGACUGCGAGUCAUCUAUCCUGCAGCUAGAAGAUCCGGACUGUGAAAAGGGGAGUAACCUGCCCUGCGAGUCCAUCUUCUCACUCAAUGCAGAGAAAAUCCUUAAUCAGGCGAAGUUAUUUGUCGAACAGCGUCGGUUUCCAUUUGCUGUGGAUAACCAAAAUACCAAUGAAGAACUUGCCAUAGGAUAUGUUCUCAUUGGAAAUGGCCUCUAUGAUGAAGCUAUCAAACACUUCUCCUUGCUGCUACAGGGAGAUCCUGAGCUGGUCAGUGCCAUCUAUGGGCGGGGAAUAGCGUAUGGCAAAGAAAGUCUACAGGACAUUAAAAAUGCAGACUUAGCUCUGUAUGAGUUGAGUCGAGUCAUCACUUUGGAGCCCAACAGACCGGAGGUGUAUGAGCAGAGAGCAGAGAUUCUGUCUCCUCUGGGACGCAUCAGUGAAGCUCUGUCUGAUCUGACUAAAGCCAUUCAACUGCAGCCUUCAGCUCGACUUUACAGACACAGAGGGACACUGCUCUUCAUAUCGGAGGAUUAUAUGGCAGCUAUGGAGGAUUUCCAGCAGUCUCUAGAGCUGAAGAAGAAUCAGCCCAUCGCUAUGCUCUAUAAAGGCCUGACCUUAUUCCACAGAGGCCUCCUUAAGGAGGCUAUAGAGGUGUUUAAAGAAGCUCUUAAAUUAAAGACAGACUUCAUAGAUGCAUAUAAGAGCUUGGGCCAAGCUUACAGGGAGCUGGGUGAUUUUGAGAAUGCUAUGGAGAGCUUCCAGAAAGCUCUGAUACUGGAUCAGAACCACAUUCAGUCUCUCCAGCUCAGAGGAAUGUUGCUGUACCAUCAUGGUAGCCUGCAGGAGGCCAUCAGCAACUUUAAGAGAUGUUUGCAUCUGGAGCCCUAUAAUGAAGUGUGUCAGUACAUGAAGGGUCUCAGUCAUGUGGCCAUGGGGCAGUUUUAUGAGGGAAUCAAAUCUCAGACCAAAGUCAUGCUGAACGACCCUCUAAUGGGGCAAAAGGCCAGCUUGGAGUAUCUCAAAGUGAAAUAUCUCAGAGAGUACUCCCGUUAUUUGCACUCUCAUCUGGAUGUACCGGUGGCUGAAUAUAAUGUUGAUCAAGAUUUACCAGGAAACUUUAAGAACCACUGGGCCAAAAACCUUCCCUUCCUCAUCGAAGACUAUGAAGAGCAGCCCGGACUUCAGCCUCAUAUUAAAGACGUUCUACCUCAGAACUUUGAGAGCUACUCUGCAGAUGUUCAGAAGCUCAUCUGUACUGCAGAUCACCUUGGCACGCUGAUGCAGUACGACACAUUAGGCUUCUUACCAAACCUCAGAAUACACAGAGCGAUGGGUUUGGCCACCAUAGAGGUGAUGCAGGCCAUGCAGCGCACCUGGAGUAACUCAAAGGUUCGAGUCAACGGAAAGACCAGACAGCUGCUGUGGAGAGACAUGUUUGACAUCGCAGUGAAAUGGAGAAGGAUUGCAGAUCCAGACCAACCUGUGUUGUGGUUGGAUCAGAUGCCUGCCAGGAGUCUUAGCAGAGGAUUUAACAACCACAUAAACCUCAUCAGAGGGCAGAUCAUCAAUAUCAGAUAUUUGGAAUAUUUUAGUAGCAUUCUAAGCUUUGUAAAGGACAGAAUACUGGUUUAUCAUGGGGCGUAUAACCCGCGAGGUCUUCAGGAAGUGAAGCAGGCUCUGGAGAGUGUGAAUAAAGUGGAAGAUCUACUGCCUAUCAUGAAGCAGUUCAACAGUAAAACCAGAGACGGCUUCACAGUUAACUCAAAAGUGCCCAGUUGGAAGGAUCCUGGAAAAGAAUAUGAUGGUUUCACCAUCACCAUCACAGGAGAUCGAGUGGGCAAUAUUCUGUUUUCAGUGGAGACUCAGACCACAGAUGAUAGGACACAGCAGUAUCAGUCAGAGAUUGAAGCUCUCUACAAAGAUCUCACUGCCAAAGGCAAAGCUCUUAUGCUCUCAACUGAACUAGGGGAUGCAGAUGCAGUGUGUAAUUUAAUUCUGUCUCUGGUGUAUUACUUCUGUAAUCUCAUGCCGCUGUCCAGAGGCUCCAGUGUUGUGUCAUACUCCAUUGUCAUGGGAGCACUGAUGGCCAGCGGGAAAGAGGUGCUGGGCCGAAUGCCAUCUGGGAAGCUGUUUGACUUCGAGGCGAUGACCACAGCCAAUCCUGAUCGCUUCAGUAAGACAGUCAAGAGCUGGAUGAACUUAAAGAGCUGCUAAAAAAGCCCCCAAUGCCAUGUUCACCCGUUGUACAAAGGGGCUCAGUUUGUUCCUGGGAGGCAGCAGAUGCCCUAACCCCACCAUAAUCCUAACCAUAUGGAGCCUGUAUGAUGCACCUCCAUAUGAGUUUGCCGAGUUGGUACCAGAACCUUCCGUCAGUUUCAGAGACGUUCCAGUUCACAAGGACCAUGAUUGAAGUUUUGAACACAGACUCGUCUUCAGACUGUCUGAAGAAAUCUUGAAUUUGAAAUGCCAUCCAGUCAUCAAAAACAUAAAAAAUGGGCCAUCUCUACUCAGGGCAUCUUUGCUCAUUUGUUCUCACUUUUACCUUGGUUGAGUUUUUCCACAUCAAAUUUCAGUAUACCCUUUUUUUUUUUUUUUUUUUUUUUUUUUUUUAAAGCUUUCUCCUUGAAAUAUAUCUAAUAUUUUUAGGUUUAAAAAUUUUAGAUAACAUUUAACAAAUUGUUUCUGCCAUUUAUCAUGUAAUUUAAAGAAAUAGUUCACCCAAAAUUGAAAUUUUUUGUCAUUGUUUACUCUUUCCAAAUCCAAAUGAUAUAAAUUUUUCCAUUAAACACAAAAGGUUAUUUUUAUAAGAAUAUGCUGUUCCAUAUAAUGUAAGUGUUUGGGACUGGGGAUGCCAAGUUUAAAAUGAAAAAGGUAAGUGGAAAAAAGUAUUCCAUACCACUUGUGCUCUAUAUUCCAAAUAUUCUGAAUCCAUAUGAUAGCUUUGUGUGAGGAACAGACAAAACAUUUGAUAAUUUUCCCCUCCACCGAACCUCUAAAAUAGACUACAAAAGUUGUAUGAACUACAAAAGUGGCACAACGAUGCCUGAUGGCACAUUGCACCAUAUUUGAUAUUUAGGGCCCAAGCACUGAAAGUGCGGAGACCCUAAUGUUCUAAGAAUUAUUUUUAUUAUUUUAUUUUUUUCUCAAGGUUUUCUGUACUUUUGGGGUACUUAACAUGCGUGAAAACUUUUGAAAUUUUGCACACACAUUAGAGUCGUCAGCCAUUUGGGGGGUGGGGGGGCUCUGUAGUGCCCCCUUGAAAAUGGGCAUGUAAGAGGGGCUCUGUAGCGCCCCCAUUUUCACCUACAGUCACCAAAAUUGGUACAUAGAUAGUUCUCAUAAAGCAGAACAACUUUCAUACUCCCAGUCAUUAGCUCCACCCAACAGGAAGUCAGCCAUUUUGUUUUUUCUGAAAAUUGUAGGUUCUGAACUUUGAAAUACUCCUCCUAGGGGAUUCAUGUGACUGGCACCAAACUUGUGCAAGUGUCAAGACACAGCUGAUGUAAAAUUGUAAAGGAAUAUUUGAUAUCUUAAAUACUUUUGCCAUGGCAACACAUUCAUUGUUAUUAUUCCUUCCUAUAUUUGGGUGGUUUUGAGGCACUCGGUAUGCUUAAAAUGUCAUGAAAUUUUGCACACACAUCAGAGUUGUGGGCCAGUAAGACUGGGCAAAAGUUCACAUAUAGGCGUGUAGGGGUCUCUGUAGUGCCCGCUUUAAUAUGGGCAUGUAACAGGGUCUCUGUAGCACCCCCAUUUUCACCUGGAGUCACCAAACUUGGUACAUAUAUAGUUCUCAUUAAGCCGGACAACUUUUAUAAUUAUAGUUAUUAGCUCUGCCCAACAGGAAGUCAGACAUUUUGGAUUUGUUUUAAUAUUGCAGUCUCUGAACUUUUAAUACUCCUCCUAGGGGAUUCAUGAGACUAUCACCACAUUUAGAUAAUAUUAUGCCAAGACAUUGAAGAUGCUAAAUUGUGAACAGAUUUUUGAUAUAUUAAACGGUGCUGCCAUGGUGAGGCAUUAAAUUAAUUGGAAACAGGAAGUGUCUUAUAUCUUCUGUGUGCAAUGUGUGAUUUUGAUAAAAAUGUGGAUGUAUGUUUAGUCUUGGGGGCUAAUCACAUGGGUGUGACUAUUUUGGGUCAUGAUCAUAGCGCCAUCACCUGGCAGCAGGAAGCGUGGCUCUUACAACAGUCUUUAAAAUAGUCCUCUUAUAUUUAUCCAGAUUGCUUCAAAAUUGUUUAGAAUAAUGGGAAAUGCAUAUGUCCACCUUGCAUUGUUUUCCAAAAGCCACCGGGUGGAAACGGGCCCAUGGUGCUUGGGCCCGUCAUCACUGCUUGCAGCUAUGUUUCAAUUUGUCAGCAUGAGAAAAGUCAUCUACAAGUUCGUGGAAGGCUUCCUUUUUCAGCUUCAAGAUAAGGUGACGAUUAUACCCAAACAUGAGGUCAACAAUUUACAUCAGGUUACAGAUACAAAGAUUCGGAUUGGCUUAAAUCUAGAUAGGUUGAGUACAUCUCAAAACAUGGUGUCCUGUUCCUAGCAUAUCUCGUGGGUCAUAGAUCAACUAGGUACAGUUCUGAUUUAUUUACUGAGUGACCGGUUCAGAUCAUAAGUCAGCAUUCCUAAGUAAAAGGCCAUCUUAUGGAUGAUCCAUUUGCCCCAUCUGGCCUCCACAGCCCCAUCUUUGGAUGUCAUGUGGUCUCCUUUCUUCUUGACCCUGGAACAAAAUGGUAAUGCAGAACACACAUAUCUCUCUAACUCAAGGUUGUAAGCAGUUGGUUUGGUAAGGUUUAACUUUUCCUAAAACACAUAGAUAAGAUAUACUCCUUAUAAUGGAGCUUGACAUUAUCUUCCCUAAACUCUGUGUCACAAAUGUAGAGUCAGGAAUGCCGAUGACCUGUGUGUGGCCUAAGCAGAGUUGGUGAACAGACAGACAAAAAAAAAAGAAUAUAUAUAUAUAUAUAUAUAUAUAUAUACACACAUAUAAACAGUUGUGCUCAAAAGUUUGCAUACCCUGGCAGAAAUUGUGAAAUUUUAGCAUUGAUUUUGAAAAUAUGACUGAUCAUGCUAAAUUGUAUUUUAUUUAAGAAUAGUGAUCAUAUGAAGCCAUUUAUCAUCACAUAGUUGUUUGGCUCCUUUUUAAAUCAUAAUGAUAACAGAAAUCACCCAAAUGGCCCUGAUCAAAAGUUUACAUACCCUUGAAUGUUUGGCCUUGUUACAGACACACAAGGUGACACACACAGGUUUAAAUGGCAAUUAAAGGUUAAUUUCCCACACCUGUGGCUUUUUAAAUUGCAAUUAGUGUCUGUGUAUAAAUAGUCAAUGAGUUUGUUAGCUCUGAGCAGGCUACCUGUGGGUUUUUCUUUGUAUCCCGAACAAUUCUUCUGGCAUUUGUGGCUGAAACCUUUCUUGGUCUACCUGCACUUGGCUUGGUAUCAAGAGAUCCCCGAAUUUUCCACUUCUUAUUAAGUGAUUGAACAGUACUGACUGGCAUUUUCAAGGAUUUGGAUAUCUUUUUAUAUCCUUUUCCAUCUUUAUAAAGGUCCAUAACCUUGUUACGCAGGUCUUUUGACAGUUCUUUUCUGCUCCCCAUGGCUCAGUAUCUAGCCUGCUCAGUGCAUCCACGUGAGAGCUAACAAACUCAUUGACUAUUUAUAC
This is an RNA transcript of Myxocyprinus asiaticus (Chinese sucker), 5931 nucleotides long. It is a transcript of the gene named tetratricopeptide repeat protein 13-like, with no coding region annotated. The record is from RefSeq and is a predicted model, not a curated record. The transcript is spliced from 24 exons. NCBI's taxonomy places the organism in Eukaryota, Metazoa, Chordata, Actinopteri, Cypriniformes, Catostomidae.